This 253-nucleotide ribosomal RNA is filed under the name uncultured bacterium. Its description in RNAcentral is "partial 16S ribosomal RNA". It matches the Rfam family "Bacterial small subunit ribosomal RNA", at positions 524 to 776 of the family's 1533-position model. The record is from RNAcentral.
UACGGGGGGUGCGAGCGUUACUCGGAAUCACUGGGCGUAAAGGGCACGUAGGCGGAAUUUUAAGUGAGGUGUGAAAUCCCCGGGCUUAACCUGGGAAGUGCAUUUCAUACUGGGAGUCUAGAGUACUUUAGGGAGGGGUAGAAUUCCACGUGUAGCGGUGAAAUGCGUAGAGAUGUGGAGGAAUACCGAAGGCGAAGGCAGCCCCUUGGGAAUGUACUGACGCUCAUGUGCGAAAGCGUGGGGAGCAAACAGG